CUACGGGGGGCAGCAGUGGGGAAUAUUGGACAAUGGGCGAAAGCCUGAUCCAGCCAUGCCGCGUGUGUGAAGAAGGCCUUCGGGUUGUAAAGCACUUUCAGUGGGGAAGAAAGCCUUGGGGCUAAUACCCUCGAGGAAGGACAUCACCCACAGAAGAAGCACCGGCUAACUCCGUGCCAGCAGCCGCGGUAAUACGGAGGGUGCGAGCGUUAAUCGGAAUUACUGGGCGUAAAGCGCGCGUAGGCGGUCUGAUAAGCCGGUUGUGAAAGCCCCGGGCUCAACCUGGGAACGGCAUCCGGAACUGUCAGGCUAGAGUGCAGGAGAGGAAGGUAGAAUUCCCGGUGUAGCGGUGAAAUGCGUAGAGAUCGGGAGGAAUACCAGUGGCGAAGGCGGCCUUCUGGACUGACACUGACGCUGAGGUGCGAAAGCGUGGGUAGCAAACAGGAUUAGCUACCCCAGUAGUC
Molecule: ribosomal RNA, 464 nt
Filed under: Vreelandella stevensii
Lineage: Bacteria; Pseudomonadati; Pseudomonadota; Gammaproteobacteria; Oceanospirillales; Halomonadaceae
Description: partial 16S ribosomal RNA
Rfam family: Bacterial small subunit ribosomal RNA
Source: RNAcentral